RNAcentral lists this ribosomal RNA (253 nucleotides) under uncultured bacterium. RNAcentral describes it as "partial 16S ribosomal RNA". It matches the Rfam family "Bacterial small subunit ribosomal RNA", at positions 524 to 776 of the family's 1533-position model. The record is from RNAcentral.
UACGGAGGGUGCAAGCGUUAUCCGGAUUCACUGGGUUUAAAGGGUGCGUAGGCGGGCAGGUAAGUCAGUGGUGAAAUCUCCGAGCUUAACUCGGAAACUGCCGUUGAUACUACUUGUCUUGAAUAUUGUGGAGGUAAGCGGAAUAUGUCAUGUAGCGGUGAAAUGCUUAGAUAUGACAUAGAACACCAAUUGCGAAGGCAGCUUACUACACAAUGAUUGACGCUGAGGCGCGAAAGCGUGGGGAGCAAACAGG